CCAGACAGCCAGGAUGUUGGCUUAGAAGCAGCCAUCAUUUAAAGAAAGCGUAAUAGCUCACUGGUCGAGUCGGCCUGCGCGGAAGAUGUAACGGGGCUAAACCAUGCACCGAAGCUGCGGCAGCGACACUCAGGUGUUGUUGGGUAGGGGAGCGUUCUGUAAGCCUGCGAAGGUGGCCUGUGAGGGUUGCUGGAGGUAUCAGAAGUGCGAAUGCUGACAUAAGUAACGAUAAAGCGGGUGAAAAGCCCGCUCGCCGGAAGACCAA
RNAcentral lists this ribosomal RNA (265 nucleotides) under Salmonella enterica subsp. enterica. Its description in RNAcentral is "partial 23S ribosomal RNA". It matches the Rfam family "Bacterial large subunit ribosomal RNA", at positions 1085 to 1348 of the family's 2925-position model. RNAcentral also lists the same sequence under 2 other names. The record is from RNAcentral. Lineage: Bacteria; Pseudomonadati; Pseudomonadota; Gammaproteobacteria; Enterobacterales; Enterobacteriaceae.